AGAUUGUGCCUAGAGAUCUGAGGAUGAAGGACAAGUUUCUGAAACACCUCACAGGGCCUCUUUAUUUCAGUCCGAAGUGCAGCAAACACUUCCACAGACUUUACCACAACACUCGAGACUGCACCAUCCCUGCAUACUAUAAAAGAUGUGCCAGGCUUCUUACCCGGUUGGCUGUCAGUCCCAUGUGCAUGGAGGGAUAAGG
Dipodomys ordii (Ord's kangaroo rat) is the source of this 202-nucleotide long non-coding RNA. RefSeq lists it as uncharacterized. NCBI's taxonomy places the organism in Eukaryota, Metazoa, Chordata, Mammalia, Rodentia, Heteromyidae. The transcript is spliced from 3 exons. The record is from RefSeq and is a predicted model, not a curated record.